This 230-nucleotide unclassified non-coding RNA is filed under the name Hevea brasiliensis (rubber tree). Lineage: Eukaryota; Viridiplantae; Streptophyta; Magnoliopsida; Malpighiales; Euphorbiaceae. The record is from RNAcentral.
GUUUUGGAAAGCUUUUCAAGAGUUCCAAUAAUGUUUAAAUUAUCAACAUAAGCUAUAACAAUAGCAAAUUCAAGGACAUAUCGAAUUAUUUUUAUAAGCACAUGCUUCCAGAUUAUUUUAAUCCAUAUAAAGCUCUUUGCAAUUUGAUGGAAUAAAGUUCUCGAGAAAUUGAUUUUUGUGCUUUAGGCAGCUUAAAUCCUUCAGGGAUUUUCAUUUAGAUAUUUUUCUUA